RNAcentral lists this ribosomal RNA (466 nucleotides) under uncultured bacterium. Its description in RNAcentral is "partial 16S ribosomal RNA". It matches the Rfam family "Bacterial small subunit ribosomal RNA", at positions 28 to 507 of the family's 1533-position model. The record is from RNAcentral.
GAUGAACGCUGGCGGCGUGCUUAACACAUGCAAGUCGAACGAUGAAGCCCAGCUUGCUGGGUGGAUUAGUGGCGAACGGGUGAGUAACACGUGAGUAACCUGCCCUUAACUCUGGGAUAAGCCUGGGAAACUGGCUCUAAUACCGGAUAGGAGCGUCCACCGCAUGGUGGGUGUUGGAAAGAUUUAUCGGUUUUGGAUGGACUCGCGGCCUAUCAGCUUGUUGGUGAGGUAAUGGCUCACCAAGGCGACGACGGGUAGCCGGCCUGAGAGGGUGACCGGCCACACUGGGACUGAGACACGGCCCAGACUCCUACGGGAGGCAGCAGUGGGGAAUAUUGCACAAUGGGCGCAAGCCUGAUGCAGCGACGCCGCGUGAGGGAUGACGGCCUUCGGGUUGUAAACCUCUUUCAGUAGGGAAGAAGCGAAAGUGACGGUACCUGCAGAAGAAGCACCGGCUAACUACGUG